This 1195-nucleotide long non-coding RNA is filed under the name Homo sapiens (human). Its description in RNAcentral is "HSALNT0364454". The record is from RNAcentral. Lineage: Eukaryota; Metazoa; Chordata; Mammalia; Primates; Hominidae.
AGCUGUAAAGAAGACUGCAGUUAUGUAGUACUUUGUAUCCAGGGAUCUCAAAGAACUUUACGCAUCAUUUAUUGUGAACCUUGUUUUGCAAAGAUUUCAGUUACUUGAGGCUUGGGAGGCGGAUAGGGGAUAAAUGUCUGAGUUAUAUAUAUAUUUACGCAAGUAAUCGAGUUUGAGGGGAGAGACACAAAACCUCUGGUUUAGCGGUUUCCUCUUGUUUGUGAAGCACCUUCUAGCAGUUAUCUUAGAGAUGUAAGUUCAUUUACUUGUCCAGCACUAAAAGGCCAAAGGGGCUUGUUUUCUCACCCAAAAGACCUUCCUGAGGCAGCUGUUCGGAUACAUGCAGAGCACAGCGCCCUGCUCAGAAAGGAAGGUUCAGAGAACAAAUUGUCGUUUAAAACUAUUGGGACAAACCUACCUCUUCUAAAGCUUAAAAUGGUCUCCAGCGUACCAGGAUUUGUGAAGGCCUGAAGUUCGUAGAAUGAAAUCUAUGUGGAGAUGAUUUAAAAGAACGGUUUCACUGGUUUGCAUUUCUUUCUUUUCUUUUUAAUUAAAAAAAAACAACAACCCUGGUUUCCUUAGGGAUUCAGGGUGGUGUUAUGCAAAAUCGGAAAGGUACACUUGGAGGAGCUAGCAAGUUUAGCAUAUCAAAGCUAUUAGACCAAUUUGUGCGGUUAAAACUGCCAUUCUCAUUUCUCAACAGCUGUCUCCUCUCUGUCCCUUUUUAGAGACCAACACAUAUAAACCAAGUCUACACAAGAAACAAAGGUAAUGGAAAUCUGCUAGUAUCAGGUUUAAAUAGAUCAAAAUAGAGUAGAAAACCCCAAAAGGGUCUAAGUUAUGUAGUUGGGUAAAGGUGUUGAUCUAUUUAGCCAGUGUUAGCUAAAGGUCGCUUGAUGCUGUGUAGACAUACAUAACUAAAGAGCAAUGAAUGGUGUGGGGAAGGUGCUUAAGAUUCAGUUAGAAGAAACUGUAAAAGCAAGUAAAUUCAGAAAAGGAGGGAAUUACCACAUGCCCUUCGAUGCAGAGAACCAAGAAAUGCAGGGAGAAAGUCAGCAAGGCACAGUUUUUCUAAGAAACACAUAUGUGUCCCCAUUUAGUGGUAAAUUUCUUGGGCUAUAUUCCUGGCUGGUUCUGGCUUUUAAAGCAGAUUUUAUGUGAGUACAUUUUAAAGGAAAGGAGAAAUUGAAGGAUG